This 449-nucleotide RNase P RNA is filed under the name Candidatus Latescibacterota bacterium. Its description in RNAcentral is "RNase P RNA component class A". It matches the Rfam family "Bacterial RNase P class A". From Rfam's summary of the family: Ribonuclease P (RNase P) is a ubiquitous endoribonuclease, found in archaea, bacteria and eukarya as well as chloroplasts and mitochondria. Its best characterised activity is the generation of mature 5'-ends of tRNAs by cleaving the 5'-leader elements of precursor-tRNAs. Lineage: Bacteria; Pseudomonadati; Candidatus Latescibacterota. The record is from RNAcentral.
AAAGCAGACCGGAUAGUCGCUCCUCUAUUCCGGGCCGAUCGGAUUAGAGGGGAGGAAAGUCCGAGCUCCACAGGGCAGGGUGGUCCGUAACGCGGACGGGCAGCAAUGCCACGGAAAGUGCCACAGAAAACAUACCGCCCCGCUCCUUUCGGCCAUUGCAAUUUGCCGCGAGAACGAUUAUGUCCUAAUGGCCAGCAUGAAGGGAAAAGCCUUCUACUUUGUAAAAUCGAAAGGUGCGGGGUAAGGGUGAAAAGGCGAGGUAAGAGCUCACCGCCCCGAUGGUGACAUCGGGGGCACGGUAAACCCCACCCGGAGCAAGGCCAAAUAGGAGAGGAGAGGUGACCCGCCUCGUUAUUACUCUCGGGUAGGCUGCUUGAGCCCGAUGGCAACAUCGAGGCCAGAUGAAUGGCUAUCCCCGACAGAACUCGGCUUACAGGUCUGCUUUGGCC